GAUGAACGCUGGCGGCGUGCCUAAUACAUGCAAGUCGAGCGAACAGACGAGGAGCUUGCUCCUCUGACGUUAGCGGCGGACGGGUGAGUAACACGUGGAUAACCUACCUAUAAGACUGGGAUAACUUCGGGAAACCGGAGCUAAUACCGGAUAAUAUAUUGAACCGCAUGGUUCAAUAGUGAAAGACGGUUUUGCUGUCACUUAUAGAUGGAUCCGCGCCGCAUUAGCUAGUUGGUAAGGUAACGGCUUACCAAGGCAACGAUGCGUAGCCGACCUGAGAGGCUGAUCGGCGACACGGGAACGGAGACACGGUCCAGACUCCUACGGGAGGCAGCAGUAGGGAAUCUUCCGCAAUGGGCGAAAGCCUGACGGAGCAACGCCGCGUGAGUGAUGAAGGUCUUCGGAUCGUAAAACUCUGUUAUUAGGGAAGAACAAAUGUGUAAGUAACUAUGCACGUCUUGACGGUACCUAAUCAGAAAGCCACGGCUAACUACGUG
RNAcentral lists this ribosomal RNA (497 nucleotides) under uncultured bacterium. Its description in RNAcentral is "partial 16S ribosomal RNA". It matches the Rfam family "Bacterial small subunit ribosomal RNA", at positions 28 to 507 of the family's 1533-position model. The record is from RNAcentral.